GUGGGGAAUAUUGGGCAAUGGGCGAAAGCCUGACCCAGCAACGCCGCGUGAAGGAAGAAGGUUUUCGGAUCGUAAACUUCUAUCCUUGGUGAAGAUAAUGACGGUAGCCAAGAAGGAAGCCCCGGCUAACUACGUGCCAGCAGCCGCGGUAAUACGUAGGGGGCAAGCGUUGUCCGGAAUGAUUGGGCGUAAAGGGCGCGUAGGCGGCCUGGUAAGUCUGGAGUGAAAGUCCUGCUUUUAAGGUGGGAAUUGCUUUGGAUACUGUCGGGCUUGAGUGCAGGAGAGGUAAGUGGAAUUCCCGGUGUAGCGGUGAAAUGCGUAGAGAUCGGGAGGAACACCAGUGGCGAAGGCGACUUACUGGACUGUAACUGACGCUGAGGCGCGAAAGUGUGGGGAGCAAACAGGAUUAGAAACCCGUGUAGUCC
RNAcentral lists this ribosomal RNA (425 nucleotides) under uncultured bacterium. RNAcentral describes it as "partial 16S ribosomal RNA". It matches the Rfam family "Bacterial small subunit ribosomal RNA", at positions 354 to 796 of the family's 1533-position model. The record is from RNAcentral.